CAAUGGCAAAUGAAUGCGGCUCACAGUGACAUGCGGUGAGCCGGUGAUCUCUCCAUAAACAAGCUCAGCACCAAACCAGGGGGCAUGUGGAGGACUGGAGAUGUCAACUGCUUGCCAUGGUGCCUACCCAAAACUGCAUGGCCCCAAUGAACCCUCUGGCUGACUGACAAACAGAGAGGUUUAUGAAGAGCAGUCUCAUUGGUCAGCUGGUGUAAAUGACCCACAACAAAUCUCCUCUGUAAAUGAGCUUAUUCAUUGAUAAGCAGACUUCUUCUUACAAGACGCCAUGAAGAAGUGAGGGGUGUGUGUGUGUGUGUGUGUGUGUGUGUGUGUGUGUGUGUGUUUGUGAGAGGGAGAGAGUGUGUUGACAGAGAAAGGGAGAGGGAAACUGAAAGAGGGAAGAAGAAAUGAGAAAUAAGCGAAGGGGUCAACACUAAAAAUACUUCAAGCCUUAGAAAAUUAGACAUCAUGUCAUGUUUACUGAGAAAACCUUCGCGCCAUUUCUGCAGUAAAGAUUAAUAAUAACACCACCAGGGCUCUGUCAAACAUAGCCUGUUAUUAUUAGCCAGUUAUUUAUAGAUGAUCAGACUGUAUAAACUUGACUUCAUUUUAUCGUAUUAAUUCAGAGAGCAGUCUUGUUAUACUGGUUUCUAUGGAAGAGGACAAGUAAGCUAUCACUUCGGUCAAUCCUCAUGUCAGUAUCUGAUCUUGAAACUGCAGCUUCAGUUACACUGAGGUCCUCUUGAUGUGAAUGAUAGUAUGCAUAGCGCGACUGGCGGCUGCUGUUAACUUCAGCAGUCUCUCCCCUAUAGAAGAGUAAACAUAGUUAUAGCUUUAAAGUAAUUAAAUCUAAGUUCCUCUGAGCGAAAAGUCAUAACACGGAGUGAAUGUAAAGCGCCCGUAAGGUUAGCUAACGUUUCUCACUGAUAAACGUUGCUUGAAAACGGACUAUCAAACCCCCCCUGACAUGAAACCGCGCUUCAACUUUCCAUCUAGCCUUUGAGGAAGAGACAUAAUGAAAGUUUGUGUCAUGACAGCGUAGCAGCAGUGGUCUCUACCUGAAAUUCAGCAGUCAGUGAGGUCCAACAGUGGUGCUCAGGGUCCGCCCGUCUGUCUAACUCGUAGAGCUGUCACACUGAAUCUGUACUUGGCAACCUCACCAGCAGCGCUCCUCCUGACGUCACCUCAGGGCAGGAAAAGGACCAAUCACCGUCCGAAGCAGCGGCGCACAGGUAAACAUCUCUGCCAAGCUAUUGGUCGCAUCUCUCCACACGUGACCCUCCCUGCUGUACUUCGGAUAGAGGGCUUGGAGGUGAGUUGGUGGUUUGACGGUGGUUGUCAUAAAUGGCCCCUGCACUAAUAGGACUUUAAAAAUAGAGAUACAGCUAUAUACACGGACAACAAAGCUGAACAAAGACAGAUAAAAGUAAACAUAGAACUAUGUAAAAUAGGUGUGUGUGUGUGUGUGUGUGUGUGUGUGUGUGUGUGUGUGUGUGUGUGUGUGUGUGUGUGUGUGUGUGUGUGUGUGUGUGUGUGUGUGUAUAAACUAACAAUGACCAGCAACAAAGCAUUGUAACCACAUACAAAUAUGCUAAUCAGUACAUAUUGAAUAAACAUUAUGGUGAUGACAGCCAUUGUGAUCAUGGCCUACUUGCGGCUAGGUAUUAUCUCAAACUCUGGACCACAUAAUCCCUUACUUAAGCUAUACUGUAGAUUUGAUCCAGUGGCAAAGUGUACAAACACACAGAGAGAAGCUAUAGAACUAUUAAUAGCCUACUCAGCCUAUUACAUUAGCAGGCUACUCGUGGUAGUAGUUGUAAACUUAAUAGAUACUUAGAAAAAAUUCUUCAUUUUCCUAUGUAGCCUACAUUGAGAUGGACAUGCCUCAAUCAAAUCUGCGUUUUUGUCUUGGUUAUCUGUGUUUUCUGUGUGCCAGUGAGUGAUGUUUCUAUAGUGUUUCACAAAAGAAUAAAA
Molecule: long non-coding RNA, 1974 nt
Organism: Micropterus dolomieu (smallmouth bass)
Lineage: Eukaryota; Metazoa; Chordata; Actinopteri; Centrarchiformes; Centrarchidae
Exons: 2
Source: RefSeq, a predicted model, not a curated record